Molecule: ribosomal RNA, 446 nt
Filed under: uncultured bacterium
Lineage: Bacteria
Description: bacterial SSU rRNA
Rfam family: Bacterial small subunit ribosomal RNA
Source: RNAcentral
AACGAACGCUGGCGGCGUGCCUUAAGCAUGCAAGUCGUACGGGGUAUGGCUAAAGUCAUACCUAGUGGCGAACGGGUGAGUAACACGUAGUUAGGCAACCUAGAGACGGGGAUAGCCACGGGAGACCGUGGGUAAUACCCGAUAGUCCCUAAGGGGUAAAGGGAGCGAUCCGCUUUAGGAGCUGACUGCGGCCCAUCAGGUAGUUGGUGGGGUAAAGGCCUACCAAGCCUAUGACGGGUAGCCGGCCUGAGAGGGUGUACGGCCACACUGGGACUGAGACACGGCCCAGACUCCUACGGGAGGCAGCAGCUAGGAAUUUUCCGCAAUGGGCGAAAGCCUGACGGAGCGACGCCGCGUGGGGAAGAAGGUCCUACGGGAUUGUAAACCUCUUUUCUGCGGGAGGAGAAAGGACUGUACCGCAGGAAUAAGUCCCGGCAAACUACGUG